AUAGGAAAAUGACAAAGAGCUG
Molecule: microRNA, 22 nt
Filed under: Panagrellus redivivus
Lineage: Eukaryota; Metazoa; Nematoda; Chromadorea; Rhabditida; Panagrolaimidae
Description: prd-miR-7902-3p
Source: miRBase by way of RNAcentral